UACGUAGGGGGCAAGCGUUGUCCGGAAUCAUUGGGCGUAAAGAGCGUGUAGGCGGCUCGGUAAGUCUGCUGUGAAAGUCCAGGGCUCAACCCUGGGAUGCCGGUGGAUACUGUCGAGCUCGAGUCCGGAAGAGGCGAGUGGAAUUCCUGGUGUAGCGGUGAAAUGCGCAGAUAUCAGGAGGAACACCGAUGGCGAAGGCAGCUCGCUGGGACGUGACUGACGCUGAGACGCGAAAGCGUGGGGAGCAAACAGG
Molecule: ribosomal RNA, 253 nt
Filed under: uncultured bacterium
Lineage: Bacteria
Description: partial 16S ribosomal RNA
Rfam family: Bacterial small subunit ribosomal RNA
Source: RNAcentral